GAUCCUGGCUCAGGAUGAACGCUAGCUACAGGCUUAACACAUGCAAGUCGAGGGGCAGCAGGGCAAUAGCUUGCUAUUGCUGCUGGCGACCGGCGCGACGGGUGAGUAACGCGUACUCCAACCCUACCCCCGCGGUCAGGGACAGCCCGGCGAAAGUCGGAUUAAUACCUGAUGCAGUCAGAAGAGGGCAUCUGAUUUUGACGAAAGAUUCAUCGCCUCGGGAGUGGGGAUGCGUAGGAUUAGGCAGGCGGCGGGGUAACGGCCCACCGCGCCGACGAUCCGUUAGGGUUCUGAGAGGAACGGUCCCCCACACUGGUACUGAGACACGGACCAGACUCCUACGGGAGGCAGCAGUGAGGAAUAUUGGUCAAUGGGCGCGAGCCUGAACCAGCCAAGUAGCGUGCAGGACGACCGGCCCUAGUGGGUUGACAAACUGUCUUUUAUGCGGGGAUAAAGUGCGGCACGUGUGCCGUUUUGUAGGUACCGCAUGAAUAAGGACCGGCUAAUUCCGUGCCAGCCGCCGC
RNAcentral lists this ribosomal RNA (524 nucleotides) under uncultured bacterium. Its description in RNAcentral is "bacterial SSU rRNA". It matches the Rfam family "Bacterial small subunit ribosomal RNA", at positions 15 to 518 of the family's 1533-position model. The record is from RNAcentral.